RNAcentral lists this ribosomal RNA (930 nucleotides) under uncultured Candidatus Cardinium sp. Its description in RNAcentral is "bacterial SSU rRNA". It matches the Rfam family "Bacterial small subunit ribosomal RNA", at positions 498 to 1432 of the family's 1533-position model. The record is from RNAcentral. Lineage: Bacteria; Pseudomonadati; Bacteroidota; Cytophagia; Cytophagales; Amoebophilaceae.
UAAUUCCGUGUCAGCAGCCGCGGUAAUACGGAAGGUGCAAGCCUGAUCCGGUUUAAUUAGGUUAAAAGGGUGCGUAGGCGGCUUAUUAAGUCAGUUGUGAAAUCCUAGUGCUUAACGCUAGAACAGCGGUUGAUACUAUUAGGCUUGAGUUAAGAAGAGGUAGGCAGAAUUUAUGGUAUAGUGGUGAAAUGCUUAGAUAUCAUAAGGAAUACCAAUAGCGUAGGAAGCUUACUGGUCUUUAACUGAUCCUGAGGCAUGAAAGCGUGGGGAGCAAACAGGAUUAGAUUCCCUAGUAGUCCACGCCGUAAACGAUGAUCACUCGAUAUUCGUGAUACUUCGCGUGUGUCUAAGCGAAAGCGUUAAGUGAUCCACCUGGGGAGUAUACUCGCAAGGGUGAAACUCAAAGGAAUUGACGGGGGUCCGCACAAGCGGUGGAGUAUGUGGUUUAAUUCGAUAAUACGCGAGGAACCUUACCUGGGCUAGAAUGUAUUUUGCNACNNNNAGAAAUUNNGGGUUCCUUCGGGACNNAAUACAAGGUGCUGCAUGGCUGUCGUCAGCUCGUGCCGUGAGGUGUUGGGUUAAGUCCUAUAACGAGCGAAACCCUUUUACUUAAUUGCCAGCACGUAAUGGUGGGGACUUUAAGUAGACUGCCCGUGUAAGCGGGAGGAAGGAGAGGAUGAGGUCAAGUCAUCAUGGCCUUUAUGCCCAGGGCUACACACGUACUACAAUGGCAUGUACAAAGAGAAGCUACUUGGUAACAAGAUGCAAAUCUCAAAAGCAUGUCUCAGUUCGGAUUGAGGUCUGCAAUUCGACCUCAUGAAGUUGGAAUCGCUAGUAAUCGCGUAUCAGCAAUGACGCGGUGAAUACGUUCUCGGACCUUGUACACACCGCCCAUCAAGCCAUGGGAGUUGGUAGAGCUUGAAGACAGUG